Molecule: ribosomal RNA, 2443 nt
Filed under: Escherichia coli
Lineage: Bacteria; Pseudomonadati; Pseudomonadota; Gammaproteobacteria; Enterobacterales; Enterobacteriaceae
Description: bacterial LSU rRNA
Rfam family: Bacterial large subunit ribosomal RNA
Source: RNAcentral
UGUGAGCUCGAUGAGUAGGGCGGGACACGUGGUAUCCUGUCUGAAUAUGGGGGGACCAUCCUCCAAGGCUAAAUACUCCUGACUGACCGAUAGUGAACCAGUACCGUGAGGGAAAGGCGAAAAGAACCCCGGCGAGGGGAGUGAAAAAGAACCUGAAACCGUGUACGUACAAGCAGUGGGAGCCUCUUAAUGGGGUGACUGCGUACCUUUUGUAUAAUGGGUCAGCGACUUAUAUUCUGUAGCAAGGUUAACCGAAUAGGGGAGCCGAAGGGAAACCGAGUCUUAACUGGGCGUUAAGUUGCAGGGUAUAGACCCGAAACCCGGUGAUCUAGCCAUGGGCAGGUUGAAGGUUGGGUAACACUAACUGGAGGACCGAACCGACUAAUGUUGAAAAAUUAGCGGAUGACUUGUGGCUGGGGGUGAAAGGCCAAUCAAACCGGGAGAUAGCUGGUUCUCCCCGAAAGCUAUUUAGGUAGCGCCUCGUGAAUUCAUCUCCGGGGGUAGAGCACUGUUUCGGCAAGGGGGUCAUCCCGACUUACCAACCCGAUGCAAACUGCGAAUACCGGAGAAUGUUAUCACGGGAGACACACGGCGGGUGCUAACGUCCGUCGUGAAGAGGGAAACAACCCAGACCGCCAGCUAAGGUCCCAAAGUCAUGGUUAAGUGGGAAACGAUGUGGGAAGGCCCAGACAGCCAGGAUGUUGGCUUAGAAGCAGCCAUCAUUUAAAGAAAGCGUAAUAGCUCACUGGUCGAGUCGGCCUGCGCGGAAGAUGUAACGGGGCUAAACCAUGCACCGAAGCUGCGGCAGCGACACUAUGUGUUGUUGGGUAGGGGAGCGUUCUGUAAGCCUGUGAAGGUGUACUGUGAGGUAUGCUGGAGGUAUCAGAAGUGCGAAUGCUGACAUAAGUAACGAUAAAGCGGGUGAAAAGCCCGCUCGCCGGAAGACCAAGGGUUCCUGUCCAACGUUAAUCGGGGCAGGGUGAGUCGACCCCUAAGGCGAGGCCGAAAGGCGUAGUCGAUGGGAAACAGGUUAAUAUUCCUGUACUUGGUGUUACUGCGAAGGGGGGACGGAGAAGGCUAUGUUGGCCGGGCGACGGUUGUCCCGGUUUAAGCGUGUAGGCUGGUUUUCCAGGCAAAUCCGGAAAAUCAAGGCUGAGGCGUGAUGACGAGGCACUACGGUGCUGAAGCAACAAAUGCCCUGCUUCCAGGAAAAGCCUCUAAGCAUCAGGUAACAUCAAAUCGUACCCCAAACCGACACAGGUGGUCAGGUAGAGAAUACCAAGGCGCUUGAGAGAACUCGGGUGAAGGAACUAGGCAAAAUGGUGCCGUAACUUCGGGAGAAGGCACGCUGAUAUGUAGGUGAAGCGACUUGCUCGUGGAGCUGAAAUCAGUCGAAGAUACCAGCUGGCUGCAACUGUUUAUUAAAAACACAGCACUGUGCAAACACGAAAGUGGACGUAUACGGUGUGACGCCUGCCCGGUGCCGGAAGGUUAAUUGAUGGGGUUAGCGGUAACGCGAAGCUCUUGAUCGAAGCCCCGGUAAACGGCGGCCGUAACUAUAACGGUCCUAAGGUAGCGAAAUUCCUUGUCGGGUAAGUUCCGACCUGCACGAAUGGCGUAAUGAUGGCCAGGCUGUCUCCACCCGAGACUCAGUGAAAUUGAACUCGCUGUGAAGAUGCAGUGUACCCGCGGCAAGACGGAAAGACCCCGUGAACCUUUACUAUAGCUUGACACUGAACAUUGAGCCUUGAUGUGUAGGAUAGGUGGGAGGCUUUGAAGUGUGGACGCCAGUCUGCAUGGAGCCGGCCUUGAAAUACCACCCUUUAAUGUUUGAUGUUCUAACGUUGGCCCCUGAUCGGGGUUGCGGACAGUGUCUGGUGGGUAGUUUGACUGGGGCGGUCUCCUCCUAAAGAGUAACGGAGGAGCACGAAGGUUGGCUAAUCCUGGUCGGACAUCAGGAGGUUAGUGCAAUGGCAUAAGCCAGCUUGACUGCGAGCGUGACGGCGCGAGCAGGUGCGAAAGCAGGUCAUAGUGAUCCGGUGGUUCUGAAUGGAAGGGCCAUCGCUCAACGGAUAAAAGGUACUCCGGGGAUAACAGGCUGAUACCGCCCAAGAGUUCAUAUCGACGGCGGUGUUUGGCACCUCGAUGUCGGCUCAUCACAUCCUGGGGCUGAAGUAGGUCCCAAGGGUAUGGCUGUUCGCCAUUUAAAGUGGUACGCGAGCUGGGUUUAGAACGUCGUGAGACAGUUCGGUCCCUAUCUGCCGUGGGCGCUGGAGAACUGAGGGGGGCUGCUCCUAGUACGAGAGGACCGGAGUGGACGCAUCACUGGUGUUCGGGUUGUCAUGCCAAUGGCACUGCCCGGUAGCUAAAUGCGGAAGAGAUAAGUGCUGAAAGCAUCUAAGCACGAAACUUGCCCCGAGAUGAGUUCUCCCUGACUCCUUGA